GAUGAAGAACGUAGCGAAAUGCGAUAAGUAAUGUGAAUUGCAGAAUUCAGUGAAUCAUCGAAUCUUUGAACGCACAUUGCGCCCCUUGGUAUUCCGAGGGGCAUGCCUGUUCGUGCGUCAUUAUCACCCCUCAAGCUCAGCUUGGUGUUGGGGCCGGCCCGUCACUGGGCCGCCCCUAAAAGCAGUGGCGGUGCCAUCUGGCUCUACGCGUAGUAAUACUCCUCGCGACAGAGUCCCGGUGGUGUCCUGCCAGAACCCCCCAUCUUUUUAAUGAUUGACCUCGGAUCAGGUAGGGAUACCCGCUGAACUUAAGCAUAUCAAUAAGCGGAGGA
Molecule: unclassified non-coding RNA, 332 nt
Filed under: soil metagenome
Description: partial contains 5.8S ribosomal RNA, internal transcribed spacer 2, and large subunit ribosomal RNA
Rfam family: 5.8S ribosomal RNA (bases 1-120)
Source: RNAcentral